Molecule: ribosomal RNA, 477 nt
Filed under: uncultured bacterium
Lineage: Bacteria
Description: bacterial SSU rRNA
Rfam family: Bacterial small subunit ribosomal RNA
Source: RNAcentral
UCAGGAUGAACGCUGGCGGCGUGCAUAACACAUUCAAGUCGAACGGUGAAGCGCUUCGGGCGCGGAGCAGUGGCGGACGGGUGAGUAACGCGUGAGCAACCUGCCGUACAGAGGGGGAUAACACAGGGAAACUUGUGCUAAUACCGCAUAACGCACGGAUAUCGCAUGGUGACCGUGCCAAAGAGAAAUUGCUGUACGAUGGGCUCGCGUAUGAUUAGACAGUUGGCGGGUAACGGCCCACCAAAUCAACGAUCAUUAGCCGAACUGAGAGGUUGAACGGCCACAUUGGAACUGAGAAACGGUCCAGACUCCUACGGGAGGCAGCAGUGGGGAAUAUUGGGCAAUGGGCGAAAGCCUGACCCAAGCGACGCCGCGUGAGGGAAGAAGGUCUUCGGAUUGUAAACCUCUUUCAGCAGGGAAGAAGGAAGUGACGGUACCUGCAGAAGAAGUCACGGCUAACUACGUGCCAGCAGCCGC